AUGACCAGCCGGGCCGCCCCGAGGCAGGAGCGCGGCGGGGCCGCAGGGGUCGCAGCCCCGGGCAGGUGCACGACCAGCCGGGCCGCCCCGAGGCAGGUGCGCGGCCCCGGGCAGGUGCACGGCCAGCCGGGCCGUCCCGAGGUAGGUGCGCGGCGGGGCCGCAGGGAUCGCAGCCGCGGGCAGGUGCGCGCCCCGCCGGCGGGCUCUCGGCUCCGGGGCCGCGGCGCGAACAGCUUCCCUCGAAGCGCAGCCCCGCUCGGAGCCGAAUCCCCGCCCCCCCAGGCUCAAACGGACGCGGGCUCGCGGCGCGGCCACCACCGGACGCCGCCGGCCCGGCCCGGCUCCAGGGCCUCCCGGACCGAGCCCGCCGCCCCUCUCCCCCCGCGACGCCCCGCGGCUGGGUGCGGCGGGCUCGCUGGGGUCGCCCCGGCCGGCGAGCGCACCCCCGGCUGCAGCCCCGCGCUCGGGACCCCGAGGAGGCGGGCGCGCCCUCUGCCCGCCGACCGCGCUGCCGGCCCGCCCGCCCCCCACAAAGCCCAAGGGUGCCCGCUCCCCCCGACUCCCGCCAGUCCCAGCCCGGAGGCGAAACCGCCACCGAAACCCGCGCCGGGCGCCACCCCCGCCCCUCCGGGACCCGAGCCUCGAGCCCGCGCGGGGACCCCGGCCGCCCCGCGCCCCCCGCCCCCGCCCCGCAGCUCACUUGGCGGCGCACCUGACGCCGAGCGCGGCCCGCACGCAGCCGGGAGCCAGCCGAGGAAUGCGGCCAGCCCUUCGGCGCUCGCCGGCCCCCGCCCCCGCCCCCUCCCCUCCCCCCCCCCACCCCGUCCCCGGGCAUGCGCACCGGCGCCCCGCCCGACCUGGAGCCGCGCGGCCCCGCGUCCGCCUCACCUGUUGCGCCGCGCGGGCCCCUGCGCUCGGGCCGCACCCCGGAGCCCCGCCGCCUCCCGCAGGGACGGAGAAGGGGGCGGUGGCCGCCGGCGGGAGAGCGCGGGGCGCCGCCUCCUCCCUCCGUGA
RNAcentral lists this long non-coding RNA (1014 nucleotides) under Canis lupus dingo (dingo). RNAcentral describes it as "lncRNA (ENSCAFG00020019240.1)". Lineage: Eukaryota; Metazoa; Chordata; Mammalia; Carnivora; Canidae. The record is from RNAcentral.